AGUUUAAGUCUCGAAUAUUGCGUGAAUUGGGAUGGACGGUAAUUCAUGCACACAAAAUGAAACGGAAAACAAAACUAGAACGAUGGUUCCUUCUCUUUCUUUUUUGUUACCGUAUCUUAUUCCCAUUUUCUCAAAUUUCGUUCUGUCUUCUUCUUUUAUCCUUAAUUUUCUGUCUCUUGCAAAA
Molecule: non-coding RNA, 184 nt
Filed under: Aureoumbra lagunensis
Lineage: Eukaryota; Pelagophyceae; Sarcinochrysidales; Sarcinochrysidaceae
Source: RNAcentral